UACGGAGGGUGCAAACGUUGCUCGGAAUUACUGGGCGUAAAGGGGGCGCAGGCGGAUUGGUAAGUCAGAUGUGAAAGCCCUGGGCUCAACCUAGGAACUGCAUUUGAAACUGCCUCUCUAGAGUAUGAAAGAGGAAAGCGGAAUUCCUGGUGUAGCGGUGAAAUGCGUUGAUAUCAGGAGGAACACCGGUAGCGAAGGCGGCUUUCUGGUUCAUUACUGACGCUCAUGCCCGAAAGCGUCGGGUAGCAAACAGG
Molecule: ribosomal RNA, 254 nt
Filed under: uncultured bacterium
Lineage: Bacteria
Description: partial 16S ribosomal RNA
Rfam family: Bacterial small subunit ribosomal RNA
Source: RNAcentral